CGCCUGACACCAAAAUGCAUUCAAGAUGCAAAGGCCGACAUCUUUAACUGUACCAAGUGCAACUUAGUCAGAGUUUCUCCUCACUCAAGCUUAAGCCUUUCUCUAAACCAAACCUAGCCCAAGAAAACCCAACCUAGCUAUCAAGGUUGUGAUAGGAUAGACUUAUAUCAAUGUGCUUAACUUGCGGAAUUGCAAGAGCACUGCUUAAGCAUCAGCAACUAUUGCCUGAAAUAAAGCCCAACAUGAGAUAGUGAUUGUAUGAGUCAAUCAUGUUACAUCCUUAAGCCCGCAACACACACUUAGUUGGGUGGUGUCAUACUUAAGUUGUUUUGAGGAGUUAUGAUUGGAAAAUGAGAUAGUUUGUUGGUAAUGUAGAUGUGAUCUUGAGAAGAUAGUCAAAGAUGUUCGGUGGAUUUUGAGAUUUUAGGUAUAGUAGGUGAGCAUGGUGAUUAUUAUAUUUGUGAAUAACCUGGUGCAUGUAGCUCCCGCUUGCGCAGGGUCCAGGGAAGGGUCCGACCACUUUGGGUCUAUAGUACGCAGCCUUUCCCUACAUUUCUGUAAGAGGCUGUUUCCAGGACUUGAACCCAUGACCUCAUGGUCACAAGGCAGCAGCUUUACCACUGCGCCAAGGCUCCCCUUCACAUAUUUGUGAAUAACAAUAUAAUUAAUUAAUCUUGAAACAAUUUGGAUUUAGUUAGGCGAUUGUGAAUUUGUGAUUUUGAACCAAAUUUCAUGGUGGAUUACGAGAUUUAGUUGGAUUUAGUUAGGUGAUUGGGAUCUCGAGAAGAUAGUCAAACUUGUUCUGUGGAUUAUGAGAUAUUAGGUCUAAUAGGUGAGCAUGAUGAGUAUUAUAUCGGUGGAUAAAAAGAUCUUGAAUUAAUCUUUGAACAAUUUGGAUUUAGUUUGUGAGAUUGUGAUCUUGGACCAAAUUUCAUGGAGAAUUAUGAGAUUUUAGGUGGAUUUAAUUUGGUGAUUGUGAUCUUCAGAAGAUAGUCAAAGAUGUUUAGUGGAUAAUAAAAUUUUAGGUCUAGUAGGCAAGGAUGAUGAUUAUUAUAUUAGUGGAUAAAUAGAUCUUCAAUUAGUCUUGGACAAUUUGGAUUUAGUUAGGUGAUUAUGAUUUUGACCCAAAUUUCACGUUAGAUUAUGAGAUUUCAGGUGAAUUUUAGUUGAUAUGACUUUUGAGGAGGCAGUCAAAGAUGUUUGGUGGAUUAUGAGAUUUUAGGUUUAGUAGGUGAGCAUGAUGAUUAUUGCAUUGGUGCAUAAAUAGAUCUUUAAUUAAUCUUGGAACAAUUUGGGCUGAGUAUGCAUGCUUUGAAGAUUCAUGGGAUAGAACAUACCCCGUAUCAACACUAUUCCAGAAAGACCGCCACACUUUGGCCCAUGACUUUAAGCAGUAUGAAGUGCUGAAACAGAACC
RNAcentral lists this long non-coding RNA (1416 nucleotides) under Triticum aestivum (bread wheat). Its description in RNAcentral is "long non-coding RNA (TAES_LNC010438)". Lineage: Eukaryota; Viridiplantae; Streptophyta; Magnoliopsida; Poales; Poaceae. The record is from RNAcentral.